AAAGCGUGCGCAGGCGGCUUUGCAAGACAGAGGUGAAAUCCCCGGGCUCAACCUGGGAACUGCCUUUGUGACUGCAAGGCUAGAGUACGGCAGAGGGGGAUGGAAUUCCGCGUGUAGCAGUGAAAUGCGUAGAUAUGCGGAGGAACACCAAUGGCGAAGGCAAUCCCCUGGGCCUGUACUGACGCUCAUGCACGAAAGCGUGGGGAGCAAACAGGAUUAGAUACCCUGGU
This 230-nucleotide ribosomal RNA is filed under the name uncultured bacterium. Its description in RNAcentral is "partial 16S ribosomal RNA". It matches the Rfam family "Bacterial small subunit ribosomal RNA", at positions 562 to 791 of the family's 1533-position model. The record is from RNAcentral.